CCGGACUUCGCGAUCUGGCAGAUCGGUACGCGCACCGCCUGGACCCCUGUUCAGAACCUGACCUUCUCGGGCGAGUUCAUGUACAGCUUCAUCGACCAGAACAACACCGGCUCGAUCUNACCGGUGCUGCUGCUGCAAACGUGAUCGGCACCUUCAAGCCGAACGGCGUGUACGACUACAAGGACCAGGGCAUCCUGUCCGGCAGCCUCCGCGUUCGCCGCACCUGGUAAUAGCAACCGCCUAACGGCGAUUGUUACCUGAACUAAAAGAACCCCCGGCAAGAAACUGCCGGGG
Molecule: unclassified non-coding RNA, 294 nt
Filed under: Hevea brasiliensis (rubber tree)
Lineage: Eukaryota; Viridiplantae; Streptophyta; Magnoliopsida; Malpighiales; Euphorbiaceae
Source: RNAcentral